CCCGGAACUUUUAGUGUGUAUAUAUAUAUAUAUGUGUGUGUGUGUGUGUGUGUGAAUUUGCGGAUUUAAUAUUGUAAUCUUUGAAUUUGUGAUUUGGGGUUAUGAUUUGCUAUAUUAUGAACCGUGAAAUAUAGAUGAAGCGAACGGUUAACACUCUAUUCCAGGGAUAAACCAAAAUUUAAUUUUAUUAAAUUAAACUUGCAAAUUGAAUUAAUUUUCAACCAUUGAUGGUUUCAUGGGGGGUGGAGGGGACUACCUAUUGAAGAAACAUUUCUCAACCAGUUUUCUUGCAGCUUUUAAUAGGCAACUACUUAUUGAAAAGAAACUUUUAAUCUCCUUUUGAUGAACUUAUUUCUGUUUUUGUGAAAACAGCAGAGGUUCAAGAGAGAGAAAAAUUUCCUUAGGUGCUUUAAUGAGUUGAUGAGCUGACAAAAUCAGUUGGCUUAUUUACUAAUGUGAAUGUACCGACUGCUUUGCUAUUAUGAGAAAAUUUUUUAGUGAUGGGAAAAUCCAUCGUGGAAGCCCCUUUUCAUUAAUGAAAUAUUACAUUAACCCAUACUUUUAAGUGGCUGUCUAAUUUGAAAUUUCAUGAUCCAGUUCUUCGCUCGAGUAAAUUGAAGUUAAUAAAAAAUUUCAAUAAUAAUGUGGAGAUAAGAACAGCAAGUUUAGAAUAAGGCAUUCUACACACCACUCACACCACUAAUCUGACUGCUGUCACUGUUAUUGUUGUUACUUUUAUCAUUUCUCGAGUUACUUAACCAAGUUAUCUAUUAAUUUCUCAAUUACUGUAGUGUUGAAGGUGUUUGUGACAGUUCCAAU
RNAcentral lists this long non-coding RNA (819 nucleotides) under Olea europaea subsp. europaea. Lineage: Eukaryota; Viridiplantae; Streptophyta; Magnoliopsida; Lamiales; Oleaceae. The record is from RNAcentral.